Molecule: non-coding RNA, 1400 nt
Organism: Gasterosteus aculeatus aculeatus (three-spined stickleback)
Lineage: Eukaryota; Metazoa; Chordata; Actinopteri; Perciformes; Gasterosteidae
Source: RefSeq, a predicted model, not a curated record
UUUUACAAUAUUGUCAUUACUUUAUUGAUUACACAGUUUCAGAAUCAUGGCUGUAUUCUGGUGUACACUAUAUGCAUUUUAUGAACCGGGUUGUCAAUUUGUUUCUAAUAUCCUACAAAACCUAAUAAGACAUAACAAGUUAUUUAAAUGUCUAUACGGCCCACAAAAACUAUAUUUCAACAAAUUAAUGAAUAACUUUAGCCAAAUUCACUUCAUUUUAAGUAAUAUGUGGAACUCCCUUUCAGCUGGACCGUGUACUUUUUUGAGUUCCUUUUACCAUUUAUACCGCUUGUUGUUUUUUGCCUAUAAAACAAAAAUGAAUGAAUGAAUGAAAGCGAGCGCUUUUGUUGUUGCAAGGAAAUGCUCUUCGGAAGCCUGACAGUUCAACGAACAAUCACCGGAGGUGCAGAUUUCUUAUGCGGUCCCGUGUGUGAAGCAGAGAAAGGGAAGGACCCUCUCAGUUGGACUCGAGAAAGCAACCUGCUGCCGUGAUGUCGUUCAUUUGCCAACAGCCCCUAAAGCCAGACAUCAGCGCUGUGGAUCGGCUCCGGAUUAUCUGCUGAGUGUCUUUUAGAUCUCUGAUCCACUUGCAUGAUUUACAUCGGCUCUUGAACUAAUUCUCAUCCAUCUUUUAGCCACAUAUGAAAAUGCUGACUUAUCUAGCGAUGACGCGGGUGAGUGAUUCUGACUACCAGUGGUGUGUUUACUCACACCAUUCGUGUUCGUUUUUACAGGAAAGCGGGCUUGUGUUGGAGAGUCCCUGGCUCGCAUGGAGAUCUUCCUCUUCCUGGUGACGCUCCUGCAGCGCCAGUAACUGACGUUUUUAGAUAAUGAAUGUGUCCUGUAACUCUGGCCUUCUCAGAUGUUUCCAUUCAAAACAACUUUGUUUGAGAGUCUUUAGAUGGGACGCCCACUGAAUACAGAUCGGUUUAGGUGGGGCCAGAUCAAAAAAUGAAAUAAAAACUAAAUGUUUUUAUUUUACAUUUGAAGGGCCUGCUCUGUCCGAGAGAUGAUUGAAUGAAUUGUGACAUUUAACAAUUGCAAUAUUUACAAAUGUUUCAGCUUUAACGGAGAGUUAAAGCUUUUCAUUAAUGUUAAAGGCACACCGAAGAUUAUGGGAAAAGGCCAACUCACUAUAAUGCCACAGUUGUUUCUCUUUUGUUUGGCUUGUUUAGUUUGGCUGUUUAAAUAAACAGUGCUAAUAAAUAUUAGUAACAAUCUAAAAUGAUCCCAAGGAGUAAAUUCAAUAUAUAUAUAUAUUUAGAUUGUUACUAAUAUUUAUUAGCACUGUUUAUACUAAAGCAAUACUAAACUGUGUAGUUGUUCUGUCAUAACACUCUGCAAAUGGGAACAAGCUGAAGCAUCCUACUGAAUUUAUGUACUUUUGUUUCUUUUUGUUU